RNAcentral lists this long non-coding RNA (618 nucleotides) under Helianthus annuus (common sunflower). Lineage: Eukaryota; Viridiplantae; Streptophyta; Magnoliopsida; Asterales; Asteraceae. The record is from RNAcentral.
UGAAAUUAAAACUUGAAUCUUUUCGUUUGCCGCGAUGUUGAAUAAAGUUCAAUGAAUCAAAAUAUCUAUCUGCUCUUCCAUUCUUUCUUCGGCUACAAGCGGAAUCGAUGUAAAAGGUUUGGUGAUAGAAGUAUCAUACGUGUUAGUUUAUGAUUGCUUAUUCUGGUAAUUCGCGUAACUCGGUGCCUAAAUUUUUUGUGAGAGAACAGCAAAUUUACAUCUGCAUAUUCAGUGUACAUGGCAGGUUAUCUCUACCUGGUGUGAAGUCCGAUCUAUCUAUGCCUUUACUUUACGUGACAUUCGUGAUUUGCAUGAGUUCAUCCAUGGAUCCAAGAAAAAGAGGAAAGCCUUUCAUGUUGUGGUUUUGAUUGCUCUUUGGUGCUUAUGGCAUUUGCGUAAUGACAUGGUUUUUAAUCGGAAGUCGGUUUAUGAGUUUCUUUUAGAUAUGCUGCAAACCAUCGAAGAUAGGUCCACAUAGUGGCGUUCCUCAAAAAAGACGUCCGAAGAUCAGAGAACACACUUUUCUUACGCCUGACGACCGUGACCAGCGACAAUAAGCUUCUCCUGUUCAGCCAUAAUGUCUAUUGCUUUUGUCAUUUGUCUUGAAAGUGUUAUCCG